AUGGACCAUUCCAUCCCUUUUUCCCGUGCAUAUGCAUCGGACUCGGAUGACGAUGGUCCCGAUGAACAAGUUGAUGCGGAGGGGUUCACGGUGAAGGAGGCCGAAGCUUUCGAGAAGGUAUUCGGUCGGGAUCAUCGGACUACAUUGUUCAAGGAUGUUAGUCUCGCGGAUGAAGCCGUGGUAGAUGGUGGCCAAUGUGUACCUCUUGGGGUUAGGCCAAGCUCUCACCGUGAUUUGGGAGACGACAAGAACCGGAUUGCUAAAGGUUCUAAGUUCGACACCUUGUUGGAAUUGAAGAUGUGGCUCGACAACUACUCGGUUACGCAUUAUCGUCCACACAAGGUGGUGAACUCGGACGUCAAUGUUCGCUACACGGUUGCAUGUGCAUGUGAAGAUGAAAUAUGUCCGUGGAUUGUGCGUGCAAGACCAUGA
This 432-nucleotide ribosomal RNA is filed under the name Triticum aestivum (bread wheat). RNAcentral's name for it is "partial small subunit ribosomal RNA". The record is from RNAcentral. Lineage: Eukaryota; Viridiplantae; Streptophyta; Magnoliopsida; Poales; Poaceae.